Molecule: unclassified non-coding RNA, 316 nt
Filed under: Hevea brasiliensis (rubber tree)
Lineage: Eukaryota; Viridiplantae; Streptophyta; Magnoliopsida; Malpighiales; Euphorbiaceae
Source: RNAcentral
ACGCUGCGCGAUAUUCUCAAGAAAAGUCAUGGCCAUCAGAUGAUUUAAGGGCCGUACGUUCAGCUUCGUCAGGCGUGACAAGAACGCGCUGUCCAACGAUGAGGGAUCAGUUGUCGCAAAAGCAUAAACGAUGGGCAGGUCCCGGCGCUCAAGGCGCUUCAAUAGCGCGUCGCAAGCCGCGCGGGAUAAUGCAUGGCAUUCAUCGAAGAAACAGACCGUCCAGCGAUGCGCUUUCGCAAUAAACGGGACAUGCNCUCGGAAAGUGAUCCACCGCGUGCGGGGGUAUCGUAUUCCAACAGAAACUUCGCGCUGGUGC